CCCUAUGGGGUGCAGCAGGCUCAUGAAGCUCAGGUCAAGCCCGAGCGCUUUCAUAACGCCCCAAUACAAGCCGCCUUCGAAGAUCCAGACCAGCAUCGAGAGUGCCAGCACCAACAGCGAUUGCCCCGGGGAACGCAGCACGCGCAACCCGUCGAUGAAUUUAUCGAGGAUGCCGCUUACUUUGGCACGCAGUUUUUGGGGCAACAAUUUGUUGAUGAACCAGCCGCUGACGGCCGGGGUUUGCUUCGGCAGGAAGACCAUCGCCAAAAAGACCAGCAGGAUCACUGCGAAGAUCCCACCCACCAGGAUUGGGCCGGUUUGAAUGCGCUGCAUCCACUGGGCAUCCGGCGCAAUUCGCACCAGUUGGCGGAAGUUGAGAAGCACCAAAGCCAGGAUGGUGAUACCGUCGAACAGGCGCUCAACCACGAUGGUUGCCAGGGAGC
This 443-nucleotide ribosomal RNA is filed under the name uncultured prokaryote. RNAcentral describes it as "partial 16S ribosomal RNA". The record is from RNAcentral.